UACGGAGGGUGCGAGCGUUGUCCGGAAUCACUGGGCGUAAAGGGCGCGUAGGCGGCAUGCCAAGCGUGUGGUGAAAGCCCGGGGCUCAACCCCGGGUCGGCCGUGCGGACUGGCGUGCUCGAGCACUGUAGGGGCGGGUGGAAUUCCGGGUGUAGCGGUGGAAUGCGCAGAUAUCAGGAGGAACACCGGCGGCGAAGGCGGGUCUCUGGGCAGUAACUGACGCUGAGGAGCGAAAGCGUGGGGAGCGAACAGG
RNAcentral lists this ribosomal RNA (253 nucleotides) under uncultured bacterium. RNAcentral's name for it is "partial 16S ribosomal RNA". It matches the Rfam family "Bacterial small subunit ribosomal RNA", at positions 524 to 776 of the family's 1533-position model. The record is from RNAcentral.